ACCGUACUCCUACGGGAGGCAGCAGUGGGGAGUUUUGGACAAUGGGGGCAACCCUGAUCCAGCAAUGCCGCGUGAGUGAAGAGGGCCUUCGGGUUGUAUAGCUCUGUUGUCAGGGAAGAAACGGUAGUAGCUAAUAUCUAUUACUAAUGACGGUACCUGAAGAAUAAGCACCGGCUAACUACGUGCCAGCAGCCGCGGUAAUACGUAGGGUGCAAGCGUUAAUCGGAAUUACUGGGUGUAAAGCGUGCGCAGGCGGUUGUGUAAGUCAGAUGUGAAAUCCCCGUGCUCAACCUGGGAAUUGCAUUUGAGACUGCACGGCUAGAGUGUGGCAGAGGGGGGUAGAAUUCCACGUGUAGCAGUGAAAUGCGUAGAUAUGUGGAGGAAUACCGAUGGCGAAGGCAGCCCCCUGGGAUGACACUGACGCUCAUGCACGAAAGCGUGGGGAGCAAACAGGAUUAGAAACCCUUGUAGUCCUUGAC
Molecule: ribosomal RNA, 479 nt
Filed under: uncultured bacterium
Lineage: Bacteria
Description: bacterial SSU rRNA
Rfam family: Bacterial small subunit ribosomal RNA
Source: RNAcentral